Molecule: RNA transcript, 9395 nt
Organism: Bicyclus anynana (squinting bush brown)
Lineage: Eukaryota; Metazoa; Arthropoda; Insecta; Lepidoptera; Nymphalidae
Gene: Adar
Gene name: double-stranded RNA-specific editase Adar
Exons: 20
Source: RefSeq, a predicted model, not a curated record
CAACAAUUUAAACAACAUAAAACAUAAUGUGUUAAUUUCUUUAUAAUAGUCAGUGAUAAAACUUCGUGUGUAAAAUUAUUAAUAACAUCUGAUGAGUGAUCUUGAAUAAUAUUUUCUACUGCAGGAUAUGGAUAGAAUCUUAGGUUCUAAUGAUCCGAGGUGUGAAGACACUAACUGGAGUGGCGUGAGCUCGUCCACAGACGUGGUCAUGCCUGCCACCACGGACUCUACCAAAAGGAGGAUUACUUCAAUUGAAGAUGAACCACCCUCCAAGAAACCAGCGCCCACCAUCCGGGUCGACCCAGGAUUCAAAUGGAACUUGCAGGCGCUGGCAAAGGCGGCGGACGCGGUGGGGUCCGGGGGGAAGUCGCCCGUGUCGGCGCUCAACGAGCUGGGCCUCAAGGUGCAGUACAGCAUCACGCGCCAGGAGGGGCCCGCGCACUGCCCCAACUUCAACGUCACCGUCACCGUGGCGAACAUGACUUUCGAGGGCGUGGGUCACAGCAAGCGGGAGGCACGUGCGUCGGCCGCCCGUGCCUGUCUCACCGCCCUGCUGGCGCGCGCAGGGCGCGUGCUGCCGGCGCCCGGCCCGCCGCCGGACUUCACCAGCGACGAGCCCACCAGAUACACCAUUGCAGACCUCCAGUUCCCGGAGACGCUCGGCGCGCGACCGGCGGCGCCGGCGCCCAGUAUGUAUCAUGUCACACAGUUCGUGUAUCUGUUCGGGCCGCUGUCCGCGGUGCCCAUAGCGAAGAGCCCCAUCAACACGCUGUACGAGCAGUACCCGGGGCUCAACUUCAAGUGCACCUUCGGAGACGGAUCACCCUUGGACUCGGCACAAGCGCCCCCACAACUCGGCCACAGUAUGCGAUUUAAAGUGGUGUGUCAGAUCAAGGAGCAAGUGUUCGAAGGAUACGGGUCAAGCAAGAAGCUAGCCAAGCUGGCUACAGCGCGCGCGGCGCUCGGCGAGCUGUGCGAGCGAGGACUCAUCACGCCGGAGCCCGUCGCCCCAACGUCGGAGACUUUGCCUCAGCUGCUGGCCGACCACAUCGCCAAGAUAGUGAACGAGAAGUUCGUGGAGCUGAUGCACGGCGACCUGCUGCACUCCAGGCGGAAAGUGCUCGCCGGCAUCGUCAUUACGCACGAGUACGACGCCGACAGCGCCAAGGUGAUAGCUGUGGCGACAGGCACCAAGUGUGUCUCCGGGGAGCACAUCUCCGUGAGGGGACAAGCUGUCAACGACGGACACGCAGAGGUGGUGGCCCGGCGUUGCUUGCAGCGAUUUCUGUACGCAGAGCUCUUGAAGUAUGCGGAAGCGGAAGACCCCACGGCGCCGCUGGCCGCGUCGGAGCUGGAGCCGGUGGCGGGCGGCGGGUACGCGCUGCGCGCGGGGCGCCGCCUGCACCUGUACGUCAGCACGGCGCCCUGCGGCGACGGCCGCAUCUUCAGCCCGCACGAGCAGCAGGACCUGCAGCCCGACAGGCACCCCAACAGGCUGGCGCGGGGACAGCUGCGCACCAAGAUCGAGUCCGGGGAAGGCACCAUACCGGUCAAGAACAGCGUCAACGUGGUGCAGACCUGGGACGGGCUGUUGCAGGGUGAGCGGCUGCUGACGAUGUCGUGCUCGGACAAGAUGGCGCGCUGGUGCGUGGUCGGGCUACAGGGUGCUCUGCUGGGCACGUUCCUCCGGCCCGUGUACCUGCACUCGCUCGUGCUGGGCUCGCUGCUGCACCAGCACCACAUGUACCGGGCGCUGUGCGGCAGGAUCGAAGGUCUGUUGUCGUCGCUGCCGCCGCCCUACCAGCUGCAGCGUCCGCGGCUCGCGCGCGCGCUCAGCAUGGAGGCCCGCACGGCCGCGCGCGCGCCCUCCUUCAGCGUGUGCUGGGCCUCCACCGCGCCCAUGCCGGAGGUGAUAAACUCGACGACCGGCAAGCUGGAGAGUGGUCACCCCUCGCUGGUGUGCAAGCAGAGCAUGUUCGCGCGCUGGCUGCAUCUAGUGAAGAGACUGCCUCUGUUGGCUCAGGUGAACGAUACAACAGUAUCGUGAUAGUGUAGUAGGGCGAGCUGGAGAGUGGUCACCCCUCGCUGGUGUGCAAGCAGAGCAUGUUCGCGCGCUGGCUGCAUCUAGUGAAGAGACUGCCUCUGUUGGCUCAGGUGAACGAUACAACAGUAUCGUGAUAGUGUAGUAGGGCGAGCUGGAGAGUGGUCACCCCUCGCUGGUGUGCAAGCAGAGCAUGUUCGCGCGCUGGCUGCAUCUAGUGAAGAGACUGCCUCUGUUGGCUCAGGAUGAGUUCAGUCCGCCGCUGCAGAGCUUCCCGGAGGACGUGGAUCAGAUUCUGUACUGCGAAGCAAAGCUUUUGUGCGCGCCGUAUCAGGAAGCCAAAGACUGCCUCAUCAACGCGUUCGACCGCGCGCAGCUCGGCCGCUGGAUCAAGAAGCCGGUGGAGCAGGACCAGUUCCUGUGCGAGAUCCUCAACGCCGACCCGACCAUACUGUUCGCCUAGGCGGGUAGUGGUCAUAGCGGUAACACCCCGCAGACACCGCGCAACACAGCUAACACUACCACUAUCGAUAACGUUGCAACUAAAAAAAUCACUAAAAUUAAAGCUAAUAAUAAUAAUGGUAGUAAAAUUGGUAUAAAUAAUGCAAAAAGUGAUAAAGAUAAAGAUAUUAAGACUUUUAAUACAACUGAAACUUCUGACGUUCAGUUAAACACCGAUGUGGCAUUAAAUAAAAAAGCGAAUUAUAACAAAAAUAAUGAAAUUCUAAAUGAUAAUGAGAAAUUAAAUGCAUUUAAAAGCUUUAAAAGCUUCGAUAACAAUGUUGCAAAUUGUAAAAUUAUUAAAAGUAAUGUCAAUUUUAGUAAAACAAAAAUACAACAAAAAAAUAUCAAUGAUGAAUAUUAUUUAAUUAAAAGCGCACUUAAUCAAACGUUAAAAAAUAAAAACGUACUUAACAAUACUUUCUUAAUUUAUGAUAGUAGUGUAGGCACAAAUGUUUUAGAUAAUAAAAAUAUAAUCAACAAAAUUGUUGAUGAUUCGGAAGUUGUUUGCACACAAAUAGAUGAGAAUACUGGGAAUGUUUCUAAGGUUUUAAAAAAUGAUCAUGUAAUUAACAUUUAUUUCGACAAUAACGAAAAUGAAACACCUGAUGUUAAAAAACAUUCGAUCGCUCAAAAUUCGUACAAAAGUGUACUUACUUAUGAUAAGUCUAGUGAAAAUUUUAGUUCAAGAAAUGAUUUAUCGAAAGUUCCAUAUUCUAAUAAUAUUAAAUCUUACAAAAUAGAUUCAAAAAGUUCGUCUUUCGCAAUCAGUAAGUCUAGUAUUAGAAAAGGCAUCUCAAAUUUUGAAAAAGAAACAAGUAAAUUAGAAAGAGGUGAAGGUUUUAAGCCUUGUUAUAGAAAUAGUAUAAGAUCAAGUAAAGAGAAUGACGAUCACUGUACUACUGUAGAGAAUAAUUCAACGCGUUCAGAUAUUAAAAAAUACCAAGCUUUGAAAGUAAAUCAAACACAUGAAGAAAUAGCAAACAAAAUCAAUUACAAUAAAGAAAAUGUUCAAAGAUCAGAUAAUAGAUAUGUAGAUAAAACAAAACAUGAAAACGCGUCUGAGGUAAAAUCAUUUCAAUAUAAUAAUAAUAAUAAAGGGUUUUAUAACGAAUCUAAGUCAGUAGCUGCGCUGCGGCGACCGAAGUGUGUGACUGACACUUGUAACGAUUUUGAUAAAACUGCACAUAAUAUAGAUUUAGACAAAGUAAAUGCACAUUCAACUGAUAUUAAAUUUGUUAACCAAAGUCGCAAUGUCAGAACUAACAACGAUCCAUCAAACAGUAAUGAAAAAUUUAAUCCUAAAAUUUUGAAUACUAGUGAAACUAAUUUAAGAAAUAUACUAUCUAUUAGUGAUCGUCUAAAAAUAAGUGCAGAAAUUUUAGAACAGGGUGUUAAAAAGAUUGAUAUAGUUGGGAACAGAAAUUGGCAGUCUCGCGAAGAAUGCAAAGAAAAUUGGGGAGAUGAUUAUAGUAAUAGAGUUCACACUUCUAGAAACGGUAAUAGGGAAGACGUACUCCAAAAUAAAAUCAGGAACUUACGUUUAGGAAACCACACUAACUGGGGAGAUUUUGAUAAUCGUAAAAGAGAUGUUGCUAGCAAUAGAAAUACGGAACCAAACAGUGAAGACAUAUUACAGAAUAGAAACACGGACUUAUAUUUAGAACAAAACAUUAAUUGUCAAGAUUUUUGUAAUCCUAAAAAAGAUAUUGCUAGAAAUAUAAAUCGGGAAUCAAAUGUUGAAGAUGGAUUUCAAAAUAGAAAUAGGAAUUUGCCUCUAAAACAAAAUCUCGAUUGGCAUUGUAUCGAUUAUUGUAGUAAAGGGAUGAAUGUGGUGGAUAGAAAUAGGGAAACAGAUACUGCAAACGUUCAAAAUAGAAAUAGGGAGUUAUUUGUAGUUGGAAAUAGAGAUAGGGAAAUUGAAAGAGGUAAUGCUAGUUUUCUUUUAAAGCGAAAAUUAACUAUGUAUAAAAAUAUAAUACCUUAUCCAGUACCAUAAAUAUUCGUUAUGUUCUUUAUUGAUUAGUUCUUUUUCAAUAAUAUAAAUAAAUAAAUAAAUAAUAAAUUCGUCUGCACGGUGUUAUUGGCUAUGGCCGCCAUCAAUGUAGGCGGCAGGUGGGCGCGAGCCGCGAUGACGUGGUGGGCACACUACUGUGUUACUAGCUAGACAGUUUGCACUUGUCCCACUGCCACCAAUUUAAACGUAACAUACCAUAUGAAGUAGCUACCAUUCUGAAUGGGUUGUUGUAGUAUUAUAUUCUAAAUAAUUAAAACAUCUUUAGAUACAUAUAUAGUCUAAGAGCCGUAUUAUAAGCGAUCUUCACCCAUCUGUUUAUUGGAUAAAGUGUUUUAUUAUCAAAUUUAGUACGUUAUAAAACAUAUUGCGGGUAGGUUGCCUAAACUGACCAAACUAUUAAUUAACCAUCAUUAGUUGGUGUUGAGGUUAUUAACUAUCAUUAAUGAUGUCUUUGAGACAACCUACUCGCAAGAUAUUUUUCAAUUGUAAUUGUAUUUCACCAUACUAAUAUUAAAGUGUAUGUGUCUGUCUUUCUGUCUGUUUGUUUGUCCGUCUUUUAUGGUAAAACGGAACGACGAAUUGACGUGAUUUUUUUUUAGUGGAGAUAGUUAAAGGAAGGAGAGUGACAUAGGCUACUUUUUGUCUCUUUCUAACCCCGCACCAUCCCCAAAAAUGGCGGGUAAAAGUUUGUACGGAGCAUACCGUAAUUUUCAAGGUAGAAAGUUAAAAAUUGGUAGGUAUGCAGACUAUUUGUGAUUAUUGUAGGGUAGGGGCAGGACUAGGGUAGGGUAGGGAUAGCGAAGAAGUGGCCAUAAGUCAAAGCGAAGCUUGAUCGGGUCCGCUAGUUUAUGUUCUAUCUUCUAUCUAUUUAUAUAAAAAUGAAUUGCUGUUCGUUAGUCUCGCUAAAACUCGAGAACGCCUGAACAGAUUUAUCUAACCUUGGUCUUGAAAUCUUCAUGGAGUUAUAGGGAAGGUUUAAAAGGUAAGAAAAAUUAGAAUAAUUGAAUUCUAUUUCUCAUAUAAACGUUUAAGAGUCAAGGUAGGGGUAGAAAAGAUAGGGAAGAAGUGCAUAAGUCAGAGCGAAGCGUAAACGAUUCCUCUAGUUUGAUAAUAAAACAUUUUUCAUCCAAUAAACAGAUGGGUGAAGAUUUCUUAUAAUACGGCUCUUAUACUAUUGUAAGGAGGGUAGACGUAAGAAUAAUUGCCUCGUUGGUCCAGUGGUCAGCCAGGACACGAGGUCCUGGGUACGAGUCUUAGAUUGAGUUGUGGAAUACUAAGCUUUUCUUCAAAAAAAUCAGUAAUAUUCUCAGUAUAGAUGUGAGAAGUUGGUGAUGGCACCGGUGCUUUAUAGAGCGUGAAGCUGUUGUCAUUAACAUCUAAUAGUCACAUGGCUACAGGCAACUCUGCGUGCAACUGGCGGAUCACCUGGUGUUGCCAGCUUUACUGAUCUCUUUUACCCGCCUAGAGAUAGAUAUAGAUAGGAGAUACACGAUUACAUGGCAACACUUUCUUAGUUCCGAUUUUGGCCACGCGCUGACUUGCGCGUAUUAUUUUCCUCUCAAUUUUUUUUAUAGCCGUCUUUACAGCUCCAGGUUCUGAUUCUUUUGAGCCUCCCAUAAUCUUACUCUAAUCUACCCUGGGUAUUUUUUUUUAAUUCUUACAUAAAGGCGGUACCGAAAUGUGUAAUUAUUUUAUGUAAAAAGUAUUCAAUGGACUUAUUAAAUUGAUAUAAUAAUGAUGAAAAUGAAAAAAUAAAUAUGAUUUUUUUUAAAUUAAAUGGCUGAAAAUACAAUGGCAAAAAUACUUUUUUAAAUAUAGAUAUUCUAUUUUUUUUCGAAGGUUUGGUUUAUCUUGUAUUACAAAGGCGCAUUUGUGUUUGAAACUAAAGUAACGUCAGAAAAGCAGUUUUCAAUUUCAUCUGAACAAGAUUUUGUAGGUGAAUAUUUUCGAUGUAAUUAAGGAAAUUAAAUAUCACGUGUCUCAAACGGUGAAGGAAAAACAUCGUGAGGAAACCUGCAUACCAGAGAAUUUUCUAAAUUAUCUGCGUGUGUGAAGUCUGCCAAUGCCUAUGAUGAGACUAUGCCUAACCCCUCUCACUCUGAGAGGAGACUCGUGCUCAGUAGUGAGUCGAAUAUGGGUUUCAUAUUAUUAUAUUUGGUUAUCGUUCCUUUAGUCUGCACACACUUUCACAACAUAAGUCAAACCUCGUCAUUAUUGAAUAUCUAUAACAGGCAUAAGAAAUAUAUAUCCUCAUCUGUUAUUUAUUAGUGAUAAGGAAUAAUAUAAUAUUCACAGUGACGCAUUGCAAAUAGGUUGCCUAGUUAAAUUGCGCCCGGAUAUAUUUUACAUACAAAAUCUAGGAAACUAUGAAUUACUCGUAGAUCACCUUUUAAGAAGAUAAAUGAAAUCAGUUAAAUAAGAAAAAAUAAGCUUUCAUUUGACAUUUUAUACGAUUAAAUUACUGUUGAGGUUAAAUAAGUAACAUGCACUAACCUGUUCAUAUCUGGCAACCCCACAGUUGGAGUGUAAAUGCAGACCUUUACGUUUUCAAUUAUGUUGGGUAUAUUCCUUUAAAAUAAGGUGUAAUUUUUUUCUAAAAAGCUAUAAGGGAAGUAGAUAAAAUAAAUUUAUUUAAAAGUUUAUUCAUUUAAUAAUAUUCAGUUACAAUUUAACUAGGCAACCUAUUUGCAAUGUGUCACUGUGAAUAUUAUCUAUUAUUUAUUUCUCAUAAAUAUCAUAUUUUUAUGAUUUAUGAACAAAUUUUUAAAACUGUAACUCUAAAAAUUAAGGACUUUACAUACAAACUUUCAUCCUCUAUUUUAUCCCCUUAGGGGUGGAAUUUAUCAAAAUCUCUUCUUAGGGGAUGUAUACGUCAUAGUAGCUUUAUGCAUGCAAAGUCUCAGCCCGAUCGGUUUUAAAUUGACAAAGUUUCAUGUAAACUUUCAUCCCCUAAUUUAUCCCCUUGGGGGUAAAAUUUAUCAAAAUACUUUCUUAGCGGAUGCCUACGUCAUAACAUCUACUUGCAUGCUAAAUUUCAGCCCGAACCGUCCAGUGGUUUGGGCUGUGCGAUGUUAGAUCACUGUGUCAGUCAGUCACCUUUGUGUUGUAUAUAUUUAGAUAAAUAACAGAUGAUUUUGUAUUGUUUAACCAAAGAAUGUUAAAUCAAUUUUGAUGUAAACCAUUCUAGUAGCAUAAGUAGUAUAAAAUAUAGCUUGGCAAGUUCGUUCGUAACACUCCCGAACCACUGCGGGGGCCGGGGGGCGGGUAGCGAUGACAGAUAAAAGUUGACCGCUACACGUAAGUUAUUACGUUACGAAUAAGUCUUUAGAUAUUUCUGUAUAUCCUAUACAACAUAACUUGAUAUUCUAAUACACAAAUAUGUGUAUUAUAGAUUAACUGAACUAAUUUAAUUAAACAUUAUUGUAUAAUUGCAAGUUUUUAUUUUUAUCAAACAAUCAGGGCUUUAUCUAUGAUGAUUCUAUUUACGUAUAAAACCUCCUUCGUUAUAAAGUAGGCUAGUACUCAUAACAGACAAAAAUUAAAAAAAAACAAAAUUACUUUAGCCCCUAGAGGCUGAAAUGCUUGUUUAGCCCCGCUGUGGAGUGGUAAUAUGACAGUGUUUUUGAGCAAGAGUAGUGAAAAGUUCAAUUUGUUGUAUAACAUAUUGUAAUACGGGUUCCUUUUUUGUAAGUAGUACGUUCGGAACCCUAAGAAGACACAAAUAAAUUAAAAUCAAAUACAACAUUUAAAUACACAGAUUAAUCAAUAAUAUACAGAUGGAGCGUACAGAACACGUCGGUGUCGUACCCCUCACGAAUACGAAAUUCAAAAACGAAUACGUUUUCGAGUCAGUACGAUACGAACCGUCGCAUCAGUAAAUUUUCAAUAUUAUUCAAGAAAAAUGGCGUCAUAUGUUUUUAAAUAUUUUAAAAACUGUUCUCCAACUAAAGAAAUAAGAUGGAGUAGUUUUUUAUUGGUUGGUAAAUUGAUUAUUAUAUUAAUUGAUAGCCCAGUGGAUAUGACCACUGCCUCCGAUUCCGGAUGAUGUGGGAUUGAAUCCGGUCCGGGGCAUGCACCUCCAACUUUUCAGUUGUGUGCAUUUUAAGAAAUUAAACAUCACGUGUUUCAAACGGUGAAGGAAAACAUCGUGAGGAAACCUGCACGCAGAGAAUUAUCUUAAUUCUCUGCGUGUGUGAAGUCUGCCAAUCCGCAUGGGGCCAGCGUGGUGGACUAUUGGCCUAACCCCUCUCAUUAUGGGAGGAGACUCGAGCUCAACAGUGAGGCGAAUAUGGGUUGAUAAUGAUGACUAUUGUAUUAAUUUACGUAAUUGUUGUAAGUGUUGAAUUUUGAAAUACAAAUUAUGAAAAAAGUUUGUAUUGUAAUGUCAAGGAGACGCGUGACUUGUUUUUUUUUAUGGGUUGGGUUUCACCGGCUUCAGCACGCUGUUUGUACUCUCUCUGGUUACUCUGUGAUUAAAUAUAAAAUCGAUUUAAUUCCUUGUUAUUUGGUUGCCUUGACAACCAAUGACUUAUUCAUCGUUAUACUCAUUUUCGAAUAUCGUGCAUCGUGUGCGUUUUGUACUGACAUACCCCCGCGCGCACGACUUCACACCCACUCCUCCCGUCGCCCGCAUACCGUGGGAGUGUUAUCAACGAAUUUGCCAAGCUAUAGUAGUAUAGUAGAAUCACUACUAGAUGUAAGAGUAUCUUUUAGCAAUAAGAAUUUAUUGUGAUAAUUGUUUUUAUGAAAAACGCACAAAAAUGGUUUUGGUUUUUUUGUGCCUUUUUUUUAAAGUAGGUACUUAAAGUUUAAUUAAACAGUAUUGAUGAUUGAAAA